Long non-coding RNA from Dunckerocampus dactyliophorus (ringed pipefish), 272 nucleotides. RefSeq lists it as uncharacterized. NCBI's taxonomy places the organism in Eukaryota, Metazoa, Chordata, Actinopteri, Syngnathiformes, Syngnathidae. The record is from RefSeq and is a predicted model, not a curated record. The transcript has 3 exons.
GUUGGGAACUGAUACUUUCCUGAAACGUACCUACAGUAUGUUCUACUGCCGACUACUAAAGAACGGAAAAAGGUGGGCUGGCUGUCAGGAGUACGUGGGAACAGAAGAACAAGACAAGGAGCAACGCAGUGUGGGAGCUCUCAGCCCACAACACACCGAAAUACACCACACGACACCAGAAUGCCAAGCACACGCAUCUGGCAACACACUCCGCACUGCCUGCAGAUCUACCACUCUGGCCCGUGGUCAGCCCAGACUCAUUUCACCUUUGA